CCUACGGGAGGCAGCAGUGGGGAAUAUUGCACAAUGGGGGCAACCCUGAUGCAGCGACGCCGCGUGAGUGAAGAAGUAUUUCGGGAUGUAAAGCUCUAUCAGUAGGGAAGAAAAUGACGGUACCUGUUUAAGAAGCCCCGGCUAACUACGUGCCAGCAGCCGCGGUAAUACGUAGGGGGCAAGCGUUAUCCGGAUUUACUGGGUGUAAAGGGAGCGUAGAUGGCAGCUCAAGUCUGGAGUGAAAUGCCGGGGCUUAACCCCGGAAUUGCAUUGGAAACUGGGCAGCUAGAGUGCAGGAGAGGUAGGUGGAAUUCCUAGUGUAGCGGUGAAAUGCGUAGAGAUUAGGAGGAACACCGAUGGCGAAGGCGGCUUACUGGACUGUAACUGACGUUGAGGCUCGAAAGCGUGGGGAGCAAACAGGAUUAGAUACCCUUGUAGUC
This 440-nucleotide ribosomal RNA is filed under the name uncultured bacterium. RNAcentral describes it as "partial 16S ribosomal RNA". It matches the Rfam family "Bacterial small subunit ribosomal RNA", at positions 338 to 795 of the family's 1533-position model. The record is from RNAcentral.